Molecule: ribosomal RNA, 460 nt
Filed under: uncultured bacterium
Lineage: Bacteria
Description: partial 16S ribosomal RNA
Rfam family: Bacterial small subunit ribosomal RNA
Source: RNAcentral
CCUACGGGAGGCAGCAGUGAGGAAUAUUGGUCAAUGGACGAGAGUCUGAACCAGCAAAGUAGCGUGAAGGAUGACUGCCCUAUGGGUUGUAAACUUCUUUUAUAAAGGAAUAAAACGAGGCACGUGUGCCUUUUUGCAUGUACUUUAUGAAUAAGGAACGGCUAACUCCGUGCCAGCAGCAGCGGUAAUACGGAGGAUCCGAGCGUUAUCCGGAUUUAUUGGGGUUAAAGGGAGCGUAGAGGGGUUGUUAAGUUAGUUGUGAAAGUUUGCGGCUCAACCGUAAAAUUGCAAUUGAUACUGGCAGUCUUGAGUACAGUUGAGGUAGGCGGAAUUCGUGGUGUAGCGGUGAAAUCCUUAGAUAUCACGAAGAACUCUGAUUGCGAAGGCAGCUUACUAAACUGCCACUGACAUUGAUGCUCGAAAGUGUGGGUAUCAAACAGGAUUAGAUACCCGAGUAGUC